Molecule: long non-coding RNA, 245 nt
Filed under: Sorghum bicolor (sorghum)
Lineage: Eukaryota; Viridiplantae; Streptophyta; Magnoliopsida; Poales; Poaceae
Description: long non-coding RNA (SBIC_LNC014548)
Source: RNAcentral
GGGGUCGGACUCCUCUUCAUCACUGAGGCCUGGAUCGGGUUCCCCAUCGUCUGCCAACUCGCCAUCCGUAUCCAUUUCUCCUUCGCCUGGAGGUGGGUGGAGCUGAUGAUACAGAUCAAAUGCAAUAUCACGAUAUUGCAUAGCCAGGUCAUUGACAGUAUCUAAGUGAUGUGCCAGCUCCAGUUUCUCCAGCUGGAGCUGGUCCUCUCGUUGCCACGCGACAUCCCGCUGUGCGGUGACCGUGG